ACAAGCUCGCGCUCUAGGAUGGGUCCGCGGCCCAUCAGCUAGUUGGUAGGGUAACGGCCUACCAAGGCAACGACGGGUAGCUGGUCUGAGAGGAUGGCCAGCCACACUGGAACUGAGACACGGUCCAGACUCCGUACGGGAGGCAGCAGGUGGGGAAUCUUGCGCAAUGGACGAAAGUCUGACGCAGCGACGCCGCGUGGGUGACGAAGGCCUUCGGGUUGUAAAGCCCUGUGGGGAGAGACGAACCGGCAUCUGGCUAACAUCCAGGUGCUCUGACGGUAUCUCCUUAGCAAGCAUCGGCUAACUCUGUGCCAGCAGCCGCGGUAAGACAGAGGAUGCAAACGUUGCUCGGAAUUACUGGGCGUAAAGCGCGCGCAGGCGGUCCCGUAAGUCGGGUGUGAAAAGCCCCGGGCUCAACCCGGGAAGUGCACUCGAUACUGCGAGACUGGAGUACUGGAGAGGAGAGCGGAAUUCUCGGUGUAGAGGUGAAAUUCGUAGAUAUCGGGAG
RNAcentral lists this ribosomal RNA (508 nucleotides) under uncultured bacterium. Its description in RNAcentral is "bacterial SSU rRNA". It matches the Rfam family "Bacterial small subunit ribosomal RNA", at positions 202 to 703 of the family's 1533-position model. The record is from RNAcentral.